GCGCGUGGGGCGACGGGGUCGCACCGGUCGAUCUGACCGACCCCGCGGAGACCGCCGACGUGCUGGCGACCAUCGCGCCGCAGGCGCUC
RNAcentral lists this transfer RNA (89 nucleotides) under Microbacterium sp. SA39. Its description in RNAcentral is "tRNA-Gln". The record is from RNAcentral. Lineage: Bacteria; Bacillati; Actinomycetota; Actinomycetes; Micrococcales; Microbacteriaceae.